RNAcentral lists this ribosomal RNA (219 nucleotides) under uncultured Staphylococcus sp. RNAcentral's name for it is "partial 16S ribosomal RNA". It matches the Rfam family "Bacterial small subunit ribosomal RNA", at positions 119 to 334 of the family's 1533-position model. Lineage: Bacteria; Bacillati; Bacillota; Bacilli; Caryophanales; Staphylococcaceae. The record is from RNAcentral.
GGAUAACCUACUAUAAGACUGGGAUAACUUCGGGAAACCGGAGCUAAUACCGGAUAAUAUUUUGAACCGCAUGGUUCAAAAGUGAAAGACGGUCUUGCUGUCACUUAUAGAUGGAUCCGCGCUGCAUUAGCUAGUUGGUAGGAGACGGCUUACCAAGGCAACGAUGCAUAGCCGACCUGAGAGGGUGAUCGGCCACACUGGAACUGAGACACGGUCCAG